RNAcentral lists this unclassified non-coding RNA (19 nucleotides) under Mus musculus (house mouse). Its description in RNAcentral is "oocyte_clustered_small_RNA9967". Lineage: Eukaryota; Metazoa; Chordata; Mammalia; Rodentia; Muridae. The record is from RNAcentral.
GCCCAUUGGCCGGGGUACC